Molecule: ribosomal RNA, 415 nt
Filed under: uncultured Methylobacterium sp.
Lineage: Bacteria; Pseudomonadati; Pseudomonadota; Alphaproteobacteria; Hyphomicrobiales; Methylobacteriaceae
Description: bacterial SSU rRNA
Rfam family: Bacterial small subunit ribosomal RNA
Source: RNAcentral
GGAAUAUUGGACAAUGGGCGCAAGCCUGAUCCAGCCAUGCCGCGUGAGUGAUGAAGGCCUUAGGGUUGUAAAGCUCUUUUGUCCGGGACGAUAAUGACGGUACCGGAAGAAUAAGCCCCGGCUAACUUCGUGCCAGCAGCCGCGGUAAUACGAAGGGGGCUAGCGUUGCUCGGAAUCACUGGGCGUAAAGGGCGCGUAGGCGGCCAUUCAAGUCGGGGGUGAAAGCCUGUGGCUCAACCACAGAAUUGCCUUCGAUACUGUUUGGCUUGAGUUUGGUAGAGGUUGGUGGAACUGCGAGUGUAGAGGUGAAAUUCGUAGAUAUUCGCAAGAACACCAGUGGCGAAGGCGGCCAACUGGACCAACACUGACGCUGAGGCGCGAAAGCGUGGGGAGCAAACAGGAUUAGAUACCCUGG